GAUAGUCCCGUAUGCGAAAAACAAACCUUAGCUAGCAGUAUCCUGAGUAGGGCGGGACACGAGGAAUCCUGUCUGAAUCCGGGUCGACCACGAUCCAACCCUAAAUACUAAUACCAGAUCGAUAGUGCACAAGUACCGUGAGGGAAAGGUGAAAAGAACUGAGGUGAUCAGAGUGAAAUAGAACCUGAAACCAUUUGCUUACAAUCAUUCAGAGCCCUAUGUAGCAAUACAGGGUGAUGGACUGCCUUUUGCAUAAUGAGCCUGCGAGUUGUGGUGUCUGGCAAGGUUAAGCAAACGCGAAGCCGUAGCGAAAGCGAGUCUGAAUAGGGCGCUUAGUCAGAUGCUGCAGACCCGAAACGAAGUGAUCUAUCCAUGAGCAAGUUGAAGCUAGUGUAAGAACUAGUGGAGGACUGAACCCAUAGGCGUUGAAAAGCCCCGGGAUGACUUGUGGAUAGGGGUGAAAGGCCAAUCAAACUUCGUGAUAGCUGGUUCUCUCCGAAAUAUAUUUAGGUAUAGCGUUGUGUCGUAAUAUAAGGGGGUAGAGCACUGAAUGGGCUAGGGCAUACACCAAUGUACCAAACCCUAUCAAACUCCGAAUACCUUAUAUGUAAUCACAGCAGUCAGGCGGCGAGUGAUAAAAUCCGUCGUCAAGAGGGAAACAACCCAGACUACCAGCUAAGGUCCCUAAAUCUUACUUAAGUGGAAAACGAUGUGAAGUUACUUAAACAACCAGGAGGUUGGCUUAGAAGCAGCCAUCCUUUAAAGAAAGCGUAAUAGCUCACUGGUCUAGUGAUUUUGCGCGGAAAAUAUAACGGGGCUAAAGUAAGUACCGAAGCUGUAGACUU
This 845-nucleotide ribosomal RNA is filed under the name Campylobacter jejuni. RNAcentral describes it as "bacterial LSU rRNA". It matches the Rfam family "Bacterial large subunit ribosomal RNA", at positions 366 to 1209 of the family's 2925-position model. Lineage: Bacteria; Pseudomonadati; Campylobacterota; Epsilonproteobacteria; Campylobacterales; Campylobacteraceae. The record is from RNAcentral.